Molecule: ribosomal RNA, 424 nt
Filed under: uncultured bacterium
Lineage: Bacteria
Description: partial 16S ribosomal RNA
Rfam family: Bacterial small subunit ribosomal RNA
Source: RNAcentral
CCUACGGGAGGCAGCAGUGAGGAAUAUUGGUCAAUGGACGAGAGUCUGAACCAGCCAAGUAGCGUGAAGGAUGACUGCCCUAUGGGCAGGGAAGAAGAUGACGGUACCUGACCAAGAAGCCCCGGCUAACUACGUGCCAGCAGCCGCGGUCAUACGUAGGGGGCAAGCGUUAUCCGGAUUUACUGGGUGUAAAGGGGGCGCAGACGGCAAUGCAAGCCAGGAGGGAAAGCCCGGGGCCCAACCCAGGGACUGCUCUUGGAACUGAAUGGCUGGAGUACAGGAGGGGCAGGCGGAAUGCCUAGUGUAGCGGUGAAAUGCGUAGAUAUCAGGAGGAACACCGGCGGCGAAGGCGGCCUGCUGGACCGCGACUGACGUUGAGGCUCGAAAGCGUGGGGAGCGAACAGGAUUAGAUACCCCAGUAGUC